CCUACGGGUGGCUGCAGUAAGGGAUAUUGCUCAAUGGGGGAAACCCUGAACCAGCAACGCCGCGUGAGGGAUGAAGGUUUUCGGAUUGUAAACCUCUUUUCUCUGUGAAGAUGAUGACGGUAGCAGAGGAAUAAGCACCGGCUAACUACGUGCCAGCAGCCGCGGUAAUACGUAGGGAGCAAGCGUUGUCCGGAUUUACUGGGUGUAAAGGGUGCGUAGGCGGCUUAGCAAGUCAGUUGUGAAAUCCUAUGGCUUAACCAUAGAACUGCUAUUGAAACUGUUAUGCUUGAGUAUGGGAGAGGUAGGUGGAAUUCUUGGUGUAGGGGUAAAAUCCGUAGAGAUCAAGAGGAAUACUCAUUGCGAAGGCGACCUGCUAGAACAUAACUGACGCUGAGGCGCGAAAGCGUGGGGAGCAAACAGGAUUAGAUACCCGUGUAGUC
Molecule: ribosomal RNA, 440 nt
Filed under: uncultured bacterium
Lineage: Bacteria
Description: partial 16S ribosomal RNA
Rfam family: Bacterial small subunit ribosomal RNA
Source: RNAcentral